Molecule: ribosomal RNA, 440 nt
Filed under: uncultured bacterium
Lineage: Bacteria
Description: partial 16S ribosomal RNA
Rfam family: Bacterial small subunit ribosomal RNA
Source: RNAcentral
CCUACGGGCGGCAGCAGUGGGGAAUAUUGCACAAUGGGGGAAACCCUGAUGCAGCGACGCCGCGUGAGUGAAGAAGUUAUUCGUUAUGUAAAGCUCUAUUAGCAGGGAAGAAAAUGACGGUACCUGAGUAAGAAGCCCCGGCUAACUACGUGCCACCAGCCGGGGCAAUACGCAGGGGGCAAGCGUUAUCCGGAUUUACUGGGCGUAAAGGGGGCGUAGACGGCAGUGCAAGUCUGGAGUGAAAGGCGGGGGCUCAAACCCCGGACUGCUUUGGAAACUGGACGGCUAGAGUGCAGGAGAGGUAUGUGGAAUUCGUGGUGUAGCGGUGAAAUGCGUAGAUAUUAGGAGGAACACCAGUGGCGAAGGCAGCUUACUGGACUGUAACUGACGUUGAGGCUCGAAAGCGUGGGGAGCGAACAGGAUUAGAUACCCGUGUAGUC